RNAcentral lists this non-coding RNA (69 nucleotides) under Anderseniella sp. RNAcentral's name for it is "partial 16S ribosomal RNA". It matches the Rfam family "Bacterial small subunit ribosomal RNA", at positions 1 to 69 of the family's 1533-position model. The record is from RNAcentral. Lineage: Bacteria; Pseudomonadati; Pseudomonadota; Alphaproteobacteria; Hyphomicrobiales; Parvibaculaceae.
AAACUUGAGAGUUUGAUCCUGGCUCAGAACGAACGCUGGCGGCAGGCUUAACACAUGCAAGUCGAACGC